AAUGAAAUAAAUAAAACAAAACACACCCUAACUGAACUCUUAAUCUUGAGACAAAAAAAGAGAAAGAAAAACCUAACUUACUUGUCUACAAAAAUGGCAUUCUAAAACCAGUACAAGGGAGGUACUACCCACGCUUACCUAGUGUUUUUAGACAUCCAGAUACUAUGUGUGCAGAUGUACAGGGUACCCCAUCUUACCUGGUCCACAACCUUCCCACCACAUACCUGGCAACCAGCUUUAAAAGGACUUCAGCUUCAACCGCACAACUAAAGAGCAGGGACAAAAAAGCUCUGAGCUCAACGGCUGUGUCUGAAUCCAGAGGAAGGAUGCUUGUGAGUACGGGUCCUCGCCGGUCUAAAACCGGAAGUCAGCGGCUCUGAAUUCGGACAGUACUAGCCUCGUUUUUAUUCCCGCCCCCAGGUCAAGUUGCCUAGCUACCGUGACGGCGGCAAACAGGCUAACAAGCUAACAAGCUAGUAGCGACGUUGAAAAUGGAUCCACAGCAAUAUUUCAUUUUAUUUGUGGUUUUUGAGGAGCUGCGACGGCUCAAUAAACGUCACCGGCCUUUUGAUGUGACAGCCGUCGAUUGAGCCAGCCCAGCAAACCCUUUUGAUGGACGAUGCAGUGGUCAGUGAGAUGAGGCAUCCAGAAGCACCCUCUGCAGACCACUCUGUCUGAUGUUCCACUUGCCAACCAGAAACGUUCAGCCACGGAUCUCGGUUCCUGCACUCCAUCCACCUCGAUGAUCCAUGUUUAGUAGAUUUAGCAACACCACCAAAGACUCCCUGCUUUCCAAGUUUACUGUAUAUAUUUUACUUUUAUCUUUACUUUUAUUCCUUACAGUGUUCCCUUACCAUUUAUUUACUAUGUUGUUACUUGUUAAAAACUGAAUAAUAAAACUGUUAAUGAUCAAAAAAGAGUUAUCAAUUAAUAGAAAUUUUAUUACAUUUAAACAAAUAACAAAAAAAUUCAAACACAUAUAUAGAACCUGAACAAGAAGAAACUAAAAGAAAAAAACCCCAUUUCUCUGCCAUCCUUUCCAUCAAUGCUAAAAAUCUGUCCAUCCUUCUUUCUCUCCUCUCCUCCGCUUCCCUCUGUUGUCUCAUGUCCUCCCUGAUCAGGUCAAGGAGCUCAUCAGCCCUUCUCCUUUUUCUCCCUGAUGAGGAGUCCGGCUUCCUUCCACCACUCUCCCUGUCCUCUGUCUCACCCACUGCUGCACUUGGCCCUGGAGUGUCCUCGGGAAUGGAAGCAAUAAGGACAGGAGGCAUAGUGGAAGGCCUCUGUCCCAACACCUCGUCCAUGGGGACAAACCAGGGCCAGGUUUCAGCAGUGGGCUUUCCGCUGACUCCCUCUCCUGACCCUGGAUGCUUGCAGUCCUACAGACAAAGGGAGUUAGAAUUACAAGGCUUUAUUGUCAUUUAACAACAGAGAACACUGUGGGCAUAAUGAAAUUACAGAUAAAGGUACUGGUUCUGGAUGAGAAUAGAGAGGAACAGAAGAACAAAGUCAGAUUAUAAAUCAUAGUUGAUAAAACAUGCAAUAAACAAUAUUUUAAUUUAUCAACAUGGGAGAUGAAAAUUGUGUUCUGUGUUUUUUUCCGCCUAAAAUGAAAAUUAAAAACAUUAAAUCAGUAAUGUGGUUUCUUAGAAAUUAACUUAAAUAAACAUUAAACUUAGUUUUCGUUGUUUUUGGCGUUCGUUACAUGAUUACAUAAGAUGCAAGCUCUUUUACGGUGAGUUUUUUCCUAUUAGACUUUCAAGCAAGUUUACGGUGGGGUGUUAACCUUAAAACAAAUGAUGAGAAGCUUUAUUCGCUAAAUAAACACACACACACGGGACUUAUGACGGGACCACCAUACAAGCUCGUUCUCGCUGAUUUCUGCUUAAAAUGUACUUAUACAAACGAAAAAUGUCUAUAAACAGAACCGCUUUCAGCUUAGUUUUCUACCGCUAUUCUCUUUUAAAAAGCCUGCUGGGAUCAAGCUAGUUUACGGUGGGUUUUUCCUAUUAAACAUUCAAGCUGGUUUUCGGUGGGGCAUGUUUUAGCCUUAAAUUACAUGAAAAAGAACAAUUUGUGGUAUUAGAUCUUAUAUAAAACACAAACCAAAAGUGCCCAAACACGUAUUUUAUUUUUUGACCGCUAUUUUUUUUAACUAACUUACAUUUUAAGCUGUACUGCUGUCCCGCUCCGUCCCCCGUUGUUGCGAGUGUCGAGUCCAGCGGCCGGCGCGUAAAGCAUGCUGGGAUACCCUUGCUCCUGUGAGGAUCCAUCAGACCCAUCCUCGAAAUGUGGGUGGAGCGAGGACGUGUUUGAGGACGCGAGAAUGAGGAUUCUUGGAAUUCGGACAGUACUCGUCUCUGCGCUGUGACGUCAUCGACCUCAAAAUGCGCUCUUACAAGCAUCCUUCCUCUGGAUUCGGACCAUAGACUGUACAUACUGGACAAAACGAUUCCAUAGGCUCCAAUAACACGUUUUUUGUCUAUAAUGGGAGGUGGCCACCACCGCCAUUUUGACCGUGUCACAGGUUCCGUCCAGCCCAGACAAUUCCACAAAAGGGAAGAGAGGAGGAGCUGAGGGUGGGGCUGUAAGGCUGGGAUCGACUGACGACACCCGGGCAAACUACCUACGAGCUAACCCUGGCUAACCCAAAGCUAACGCGGAGGUGGGAGCCGAGCUAACGGAUGUAGCCACCUAGCUUCAACCCUACCGGAGCUAACUGUGGAACACCCAUGGACCUGAACCUAACACGAAGUUUAGGUGGAGGUUUUCAGCGCCUGUUCGUGACAAGUACCUGGAUUAAAAAAGUAUUAAAUCGGUAAGUUUAUAAUUUAUUUCCGUAAUGAAAACAUUUAGCUUUGAGCAAGUUUUCAGUACCGUAUUCUCCGGGCUAUCGCUCCUGAGUCGCACCAGCCAUUAAAUGUAUCAUGAAGAAGAGAAGAUAUAUUUAAGUCGUAUUUUGGGGGGACAUUUUAUUAUCUUUCUUACAAAAUCUGAGACCAAGCGUUUCACAUUGCAACACAAGCACCGGUAACCAUAACAGAAUGAACAACAGCGUGUAAGUAACUCUGGAAAGGCUCUGUUAAUAAGUGAUUGUUCUUGCAUGGUUUUAAUUUGAUUUUAUAGUUUUGUACUGCAUGCUUUUAUUUUGACGGACCAGCAGAGGAAAUAAGGGAGAGCAGAGAAGGCCAAUUGACUUUUGCUUGGAAACUGACAGCAUGCUGUAAGACCAAACAGACAGGACUGGGCCUCUAUACCCUUCCUUUUGACAAUUAAGCGCCUAGCUGGAAUUGGGAACAAGCUCUUACGGUGUUUCAAGAAAGGAAAGGUGGAUUUAUGUUCAAAAUAAGGAUGCCAGCUGAACAUGAAUAAAAAUUCCUUGAGAAACAUCAGUACGCUUAGCCAUUGUCUGGCUGGGUUCGCUACACAGCGCGCCAUGGUCUCCAGCCAGCAGAGGAGAGGAUGGCGGUGUUUCAAACCCUCCCGGCCGGCGAGGAGAGCUCAUUCCUGGGCUGGAGCUCUCAGCACCCCGCCACAGGCUCCAACAGAUGCUGGCGGUGUUUGAAACCCUCCCAGCGGGACAGGGGAAGUCAUUCUUGGGUAGGGUUAGGUAGGGAAUUAUCAUGAGAACCAGGACAAGACAGCCUGAUAACAGUCAUGUGAAAAUAACAGUAAAAAAGUAUGUAUGUGUAAUAGAAAUAAAAAUAUAUUAGAAUUAGUGUAACUCACUGUGAUCCAAACAAUAAAUCAGCCAUAGCUGAUUAGUAAAUAUGACAUGAGGUCUGGGAGUUUUUAAGUUUUUUUCUUUUAUUACAUUUUUUUCGUAGAUCUAUUAAAAGGUCACCAUGGCAGCCUGUGUGUCUCCAACAUCAGCUACACAACGCAGCAAGUGUAAGUUCCUGUC
Nothobranchius furzeri (turquoise killifish) is the source of this 3901-nucleotide non-coding RNA. The record is from RefSeq and is a predicted model, not a curated record. NCBI's taxonomy places the organism in Eukaryota, Metazoa, Chordata, Actinopteri, Cyprinodontiformes, Nothobranchiidae.